AGAGUUUGAUCAUGGCUCAGAAUGAACGUUGGCGGCGCGGAUUAGGCAUGCGAGUCGUACGAGAACCCGCAAGGGGGAAAGUGGCGAACGGGGUAGUAAUGCGUAGGUGACGUGCCCUGGGGUCGGGGAUAGCCUAGGGAAACUUAAGGUAAUACCCGAUAAUCCCGGUAGGUUUGAAGACCAUCCGGGCAAAGGUGUGAUUCCACCUCAGGAGCGGCUUGCGUGGUAUUAGCUAGUUGGUGAGGUAACGGCUCACCAAGGCUUCGAUGCCUAGGGGAUGUUAGCGCAUGAUCCCCACCACUGGGACUGAGAUACUGCCCAGACACCUACGGGUGGCUGCAGUCGAGAAUCUUCGGCAAUGGGGGAAACCCUGACCGAGCGACGCCGCGUGUGGGAUGAAGGCCCUUGGGUUGUAAACCACUGUCAGAGGGGAUGAAGUGCUAGAAAGCUAUCUUUCUAGUUUGACAUAGCCUCAGAGGAAGCACGGGCUAAGUCCGUGCCAGCAGCCGCGGUAAGACGAACUGUGCAAACGUUAUUCGGAAUCACAGGGCUUGAAGAGUGCGUAGGCGGUUUCGUAAGUAGGGUGUGAAAGCCCCCGGCUCAGCCGGGGAAUUGCGCCCUAAACUGCGAGGCUGGAGUGAGGUAGGGGGUGUGUGGAACUUCUAGUGGAGCGGUGAAAUGUGUUGAUAU
RNAcentral lists this ribosomal RNA (690 nucleotides) under uncultured bacterium. RNAcentral describes it as "bacterial SSU rRNA". It matches the Rfam family "Bacterial small subunit ribosomal RNA", at positions 8 to 697 of the family's 1533-position model. The record is from RNAcentral.